This 465-nucleotide ribosomal RNA is filed under the name uncultured bacterium. RNAcentral's name for it is "partial 16S ribosomal RNA". It matches the Rfam family "Bacterial small subunit ribosomal RNA", at positions 28 to 507 of the family's 1533-position model. The record is from RNAcentral.
GAUGAACGCUGGCGGCGUGCUUAACACAUGCAAGUCGAACGGAAAGGCCCAAGCUUGCUUGGGUACUCGAGUGGCGAACGGGUGAGUAACACGUGGGUGAUCUGCCCUGCACUUCGGGAUAAGCCUGGGAAACUGGGUCUAAUACUGGAUAGGACCACAUUUUGGAUGGUGUGGUGGAAAGUUUUUCGGUGUGGGAUGAGCUCGCGGCCUAUCAGCUUGUUGGUGGGGUAAUGGCCUACCAAGGCGUCGACGGGUAGCCGGCCUGAGAGGGUGUACGGCCACAUUGGGACUGAGAUACGGCCCAGACUCCUACGGGAGGCAGCAGUGGGGAAUAUUGCACAAUGGGCGCAAGCCUGAUGCAGCGACGCCGCGUGGGGGAUGACGGCCUUCGGGUUGUAAACUCCUUUCGCUAGGGACGAAGCGCAAGUGACGGUACCUGGAGAAGAAGCACCGGCUAACUACGUG